GACGAACGCUGGCGGCGUGCUUAACACAUGCAAGUCGAGCGGUAAGGCCUCUUCGGGGGUACACGAGCGGCGAACGGGUGAGUAACACGUGAGUGAUCUGCCCUUCACUUCGGGAUAGCUUCGGGAAACCGAAAUUAAUACCGGAUAUGACCUGUCACUGCAUGGUGGUGGGUGGAAAGUUUUUUCGGUGGAGGAUGUGCUCGCGGCCUAUCAGCUUGUUGGUGAGGUAAUGGCUCACCAAGGCUUCGACGGGUAGCCGGCCUGAGAGGGUGACCGGCCACACUGGGACUGAGACACGGCCCAGACUCCUACGGGAGGCAGCAGUGGGGAAUAUUGGACAAUGGGCGGAAGCCUGAUCCAGCAACGCCGCGUGAGGGAUGACGGCCUUCGGGUUGUAAACCUCUUUCAGCUCCGACGAAGCGCCCGUACAGGGUUGUGACGGUAGGUGCAGAAGAAGGACCGGCCAACUACGUGCCAGCCGCCGCCGUAACAC
This 493-nucleotide ribosomal RNA is filed under the name uncultured bacterium. RNAcentral describes it as "bacterial SSU rRNA". It matches the Rfam family "Bacterial small subunit ribosomal RNA", at positions 28 to 526 of the family's 1533-position model. The record is from RNAcentral.